CUAUGUCCGCUCCCGCCCAAAGCUUCCCAACAGACUUGGACUGCAAAUAAAGUGGCCAAAAAAGAAACCAAGAUCCUGAUGCUGCUUAACCAAAAGAGGGGGAAGUAAACCACAAAUCUCACAUCUUCUUGACCGGUCCUACUCUGAGCUCCAUCAGAGGGAUUUUUCUUGUAUGGGUUAUCUUUUACAUGUUUUUGCCCCAGUGCCAGCAUGACCAAAGGCUUUAACACUUGAAAAGUGGUAACAGCAGUGAAGUUCCCUCUUUGUGAUCUGUCUCACUAGCCCUUGAGUCAAGGUGCAUUUGUCCUGUACCUGCCAUUGGACUAUUGGCCUUUUGCUAAACCAAAACAAUCUAGGCCAUAACGAAAUUGAAAGAAGGCCUUCCUACUCUGUGGCUGUUGUGCAAUCAGUGCUCAUCAAGGAUGGCUGAAGGCACAAGACGAAACACACCCUGCGUUUGAGGCUAAGGUAUAUUAACCUUUCCACUUGGAAUGCCUAAUUGCUCAAAUAUUGCCAACAUUGUUCAAACUGCCAGAUAUGUUAGGGAACAGGCAGAACUGGAGGGACAACUCUAUAUAAGGGGUAUGACAAAUUUAUUGGGUAAAUUGUAUGGGAGUGCUUAACCCUUCUCUCUGUUCUGUUUUUUUGUAAGGACAACUGCCAAGUAGAGUUGAUUAUGACUAAUUCAUGUGAGGAAAUACAACAGAGAAGUUAAACAGCAACAACCAGUUUAAUUUCACUUGUUACCAAUAAGGCCUAACUUAAUUUUCAAAAGGAGAUGAAAGGGUUACCACCUUCCUCUCCCAUGUGGAUGUUGAGUGACACAGGUGAAGCCUUCAGCUGUCCUUCUGAUCCUGAUGGACCCACCAAAAGCACCAAGGAGCAACCAGCCCUGGCUGAAAAGCAGUGCAGGAGCACAGGAGCCAGAGCCGUGUGGCCAGCGAUGGAGACAAGAAGAGAGAGAGGGCAUCCCUGCCCCAUCCUGCACAGGGGAUCAGGCUUUUCUCAAGGAUGGUGGAACACCGGGGCUGCUGCCAUGGGGCCCAGUGGCCACACAGGACUCCCAGACUGGAGGUGCAGGGGUGGAGAACGUGGGGUACCUCAUCACAGAUGUCAUCAUCAUCAUCAUGGUCACAGCCCAUGUGGGAACAGCGGGACAGGCAGCUGGUAUGUAGUCUAGAAGACAGGCAUUUUUAGCAAACAGAUGCAAAGAUAGUAAUGCUUUUUUGGAAAUCAGCCUCAUGGCUGG
This 1249-nucleotide long non-coding RNA is filed under the name Calidris pugnax (ruff). RNAcentral describes it as "lncRNA (ENSCPUG00000009394.1)". Lineage: Eukaryota; Metazoa; Chordata; Aves; Charadriiformes; Scolopacidae. The record is from RNAcentral.